UUGAGCCUACGGGACGCAGCAGUGAGGAAUAUUGGUCAAUGGUCGGGAGACUGAACCAGCCAAGCCGCGUGAGGGAGGAAGGUACAGAGUAUCGUAAACCUCUUUUGUCAGGGAACAAAGACUGGGACGCGUCCCCGGAUGAGUGUACCUGAAGAAAAAGCAUCGGCUAACUCCGUGCCAGCAGCCGCGGUAAUACGGAGGAUGCGAGCGUUAUCCGGAUUUAUUGGGUUUAAAGGGUGCGCAGGCGGUCUGUUAAGUCAACGUUAAAAUUGCGGGGCUCAACCCCGUCGAGCCGUUGAAACUGG
Molecule: ribosomal RNA, 305 nt
Filed under: uncultured bacterium
Lineage: Bacteria
Description: bacterial SSU rRNA
Rfam family: Bacterial small subunit ribosomal RNA
Source: RNAcentral